AUUGAACGCUGGCGGCAGGCUUAACACAUGCAAGUCGAACGGUAGCAGGAGAAAGCUUGCUUUCUUGCUGACGAGUGGCGGACGGGUGAGUAAUACUUGGGAAUCUGGCUUAUGGAGGGGGAUAACUACGGGAAACUGUAGCUAAUACCGCGUAGUAUCGGAAGAUGAAAGUGCGGGACCGUAAGGCCGCAUGCCAUAGGAUGAGCCCAAGUGGGAUUAGGUAGUUGGUGGGGUAAAGGCCUACCAAGCCUGCGAUCUCUAGCUGGUCUGAGAGGAUGACCAGCCACACCGGGACUGAGACACGGCCCGGACUCCUACGGGAGGCAGCAGUGGGGAAUAUUGCGCAAUGGGGGCAACCCUGACGCAGCCAUGCCGCGUGAAUGAAGAAGGCCUUCGGGUUGUAAAGUUCUUUCGGUGACGAGGAAGGUUGUUGUGUUAAUAGCGCAACAAAUUGACGUUAAUCACAGAAGAAGCACCGGCUAACUCCGUGCCAGCAGCCGCGGUAAUACGGAGGGUGCGAGCGUUAAUCGGAAUAACUGGGCGUAAAGGGCACGCAGGCGGACUUUUAAGUGAGGUGUGAAAUCCCCGGGCUUAACCUGGGAAUUGCAUUUCAGACUGGGGGUCUAGAGUACUUUAGGGAGGGGUAGAAUUCCACGUGUAGCGGUGAAAUGCGUAGAGAUGUGGAGGAAUACCGAAGGCGAAGGCAGCCCCUUGGGAAUGUACUGACGCUCAUGUGCGAAAGCGUGGGGAGCAAACAGG
Molecule: ribosomal RNA, 759 nt
Filed under: Aggregatibacter segnis
Lineage: Bacteria; Pseudomonadati; Pseudomonadota; Gammaproteobacteria; Pasteurellales; Pasteurellaceae
Description: bacterial SSU rRNA
Rfam family: Bacterial small subunit ribosomal RNA
Source: RNAcentral